Molecule: long non-coding RNA, 2263 nt
Organism: Musa acuminata AAA Group (dessert banana)
Lineage: Eukaryota; Viridiplantae; Streptophyta; Magnoliopsida; Zingiberales; Musaceae
Exons: 3
Source: RefSeq, a predicted model, not a curated record
CCGCAUCCCAUUUCUCCUCGAGGGAAAGAGGGAUGGGAUCUCGAAGCCCUCAAUCCGAUCGCGCCUCCUCUGCCGCCCUCGCCCGUCCAACUUCUUUCUCCUCUCCUUAUGACCGCUCAAGCCCUCCGAAUCCCCACACCUUCAACCCUCUUCGUCGUUUGUUUCCGACGAGAAGGGAGGUGCCAAGAAGAUCUCGGCUCCAAGCCCCUUUCAAACCUAAUGCCUUGCGAUCGAUUCCGCCGUCGAGAACUCACAUGAGAAGAAGAAGAAGAAGGGUCUCCGCGAUUUUCUUUUGAUGAAGGCGAGCGCUCUGUCUGGGCACUGGUUCAUCGACGGGUGGAUACCUUAUUGCACUGGACGCGCUGUUAUGUGAGUUGUCUUGUUUCUUUCCUCUUCUUGAUGAAUGGAGUUUGGCUAUUUGGUUAACGACUGUCGUACAGACCAAUUAUCUGGGGACAGAGGGCAUGCAUCUUUCUCAACGUUGAUCUUAAUUAAAGAAAAUGAUAUAUUUACUGAGCCUAAAUUCUACGAUAGAUUUUCUGCCAUAGCGAUUGUUAGUGCUGAGAAUGAACUCGUGGGAUGUAGAUAACCUUUAUAGAGAUUUGCUUAUGGAUUUGCAGACUAGCGUAUUUGGAUUUACAUAGAGUUGAGUAGUGAGAUGUACCCAGAGGUACAGUGUAACUAGAUUGAUCAGUUCAUACGGUGGAAUUGUUUAUACAAUCAAUUAUGUAUUUACUGUUCUUGUUAAAUCAAGAAAUGGGUUUCUUAUACAGACUAUAUUCUUUUUCUGUCCUAAUUCUAAACUAAACUUAUAGUUAUAACUAAAUAUAUUGGAUAAAUUCUUGUUCUGUAAAGAAUUUACCUCUCCGCAAACUCUGGUACAAAGAAAUAAAGACUUCACUGAAAUUGAGUCCUUAUGUAUCAAUGACUUGCAUCAUACUAUACUAAAAGCCUUUCUUAGGUUCACGCAAUCACAUGAUGGGGAUUUCUUAUUCACUUAAUCGCACUGUUAUAGAAUCUUAAUUCUUUCUCAUAAUUCUGAUAGCUGGUACUUGAUUAUUAUAUUGCUGAUAGGGGCUUUCUUAUUCACCUCCUUACAAUGUUAAAGAAUGUUAGUUCUUAAUAGUUGUAGUAAACACAAUAUUGCUUACAAGUUUGUGCAUGUUUUGUGAAUAGUAAUGUAGACCAUGAAAGUUGGGGGGAGUUGACUGUACUGGUUACGCAUAUGUCCGCCCAUUACUUGCAACCAUAGAUUGGACUCUGUUAUCCGGGUUCAAAUUGUUUUGAAUGGUGACCCUCUGAAUGAUCUGUCCUUUCACUGACUAUAUCGACAAAUUAUGAAGAUACCAAAACUAAAGGAAAAGCUGAAGGAAUUGGCAUGGUGGAUCUCAAGUUGCGGCUGCAAGAAAGGAACAACGGGACUUGUUUGGUUCUCAAAUUUGUUUGAAGACUGAAAACGGGUACAGCCAUUCGCCCUGCAAAAAUUGGCACGACCUUGAGCUACAAGAUUCAAGGACCUAUCAAAAUAAUUAAAAUGGACAACAUGAACUAACUGAAAAGAUCGACUUUGGCCACCUGUCUGAUUGGUAAUGUGAUCGUGGAGCCAGCAGAGGAUGAAGUUCCGCCUAAAUAGAAAAAAAGGCCUCUGAAGAAGAUGAGGAUGCAGAUGAUCUUUUGUCGAAUGCAAGCGACCAGAGCGAGAGGAGAUUGAUAACAUGUCCGUGUAUGGGCAUCUUCCUAUUGAGGAAUUUGACUAUUAUGAUCUCGAUGGAAGUGCUGAUAAGGACUAUGGCACUUGCAAUUGGUAGUAAUACAGAGAGAGGUCCUUCACCCAUGUGGACAUGGUAAUGAUGACGAGGGUGGUUGGAUGCAUGAUAUGGUGUGGUGAUGAUUUUGAUGACGUAGUAGUGUUGCGAUGGUGGUGGCACUGACCGAUGAUGACAAUGGUGAUGAUGAUCAAUCCAAUAUAAUUGGCAAGUGGAAGUUUGACACAUGUUCUCAAGCGUCACCAUCACCAUUUGCUAGUCCUGAAGACGAUGAACGCCUCAUGAUGAAUGAGAUGAGGCCCAACGUGAUAAGUCCAGAUCACAUACAGAAUAAGAAAAAGAAUUACAAGUCUAGCGGAGCAUAUUUCUCAGAAAAUGUUCUCUAUAUCCCAUAUGUUUGCAACUUUUAUUACUUCUUGACGUGAUAACAUGUGCAUAGAAGAAAUGCUUUUGUUUAGAAAAAAAAGAAGAAAAAGGUAAAUGCAAAGAACAUACGA